GCGCGCGAUUUACGAAUAUUCGUUAAUGCCGUCUCCAGAGUCGGCAAAUCCCGCGCAAUAUUUCUCCUGCGAGAAGACGUCCUCCCUGUUGUGUCAUCAACCACUCCGAAGUUGCUACUGCUUGCUGUAAGCUUGCUCUCCUGGCGACCUAACGCAACGCCUACACUCUCACCGUACAACGUAACGCAAUGCAAGCCGGUUACGCCACUGACGAGUGCAUUGUGCAGCCGUGGUGAGUAAACGAGUCACGCUGCGUCACGCUUCAGCCCGCCGCCGCCGCCACCGCCGCCACCGUGCCGUCACCGUCACGCGGCGGCAGUAGCCCUUCUUCUCCUGUGCAAACACCCCCCGUCACGUCAUGCGUACACGCGGGGUGAAUUGCGUUACGUCGCCUCCGGUUUGCGUCGCGGGGCCCCGCACUUGCGCCGGCUAAUAACGAUCACCAGGGACGCGGUGAGCAUAAUGAGGUUGACAAGUCGUCGACGAUGAUGAUGAACUGCGCCGGCGAUAAAAGCGAGGGGGUUGAAACAGUUCCAUCGUGGCCCUCGCCGCCAAGGAGAUUCGACACGGCCAGCUGGAGCAGCGCGCUGUUCCGCCUUCGUCUUCUUUCUCUGUAUUUCCGGGGGAUGAGACCGCCGAUUGUGCAUGGGCGUUCGCAACGGGGGGCAAACUUACGUUAAAUGCACCGCAACAUUAAACUAACUCGGCGGCUCAAUUUUACAUUUACAUAGGCAUGUAAAUGUCGAAGCAGUAUGUUUUUUUUUAUUUCUUGAAACUAAACAUUUUUUAAACAACAGUGACACGUUUGCAAGAAUUAAACAUACAUGAAAAAAAAAAGAGGUAUUUAAUUUUAAGAUAAUAAAAUGUUCUAUUUCCGUCUUUGUUAAAUAUUUAAAAAUGUGUUUAAAAAAUAUUUAGAUUUAAACUAUUUCAGCUGUUAACGAUUUCAACGGAGACAGAAAUAAAACAUUUUCAUAUCUUAAAGUUAAAUGCUUCGCUUUUGAAUAACAUUUAAGACCGGACUUUUUUAUUAAUUUCUAUGUUAGUCUGAAAGUAUUUUUAUCGAAUUUUUUACUUAAUCUUUGUCAAUAUAAGUUUUGAAUAAAAUUUGAGAUAGUUCAAGUUUUAUUUAACUUAAGAUUUUCUACAACAUCACGAAAAGAGUUCGUGUAGACGCCUAUGCCCGCGUGUUGACGUGUUGCGUUAUGAUGAGCGUAUAGAGUCGAUCAUCCUGCAUAUACAUGUUUUAUAUGGAUGACUUUCGCGUUUUACGUUGGGUAUACCGUGAACCCUCCUUGUCGAACUCAAGUGGCCGUACCGCGAGAGAAUCUCUUUAUUAUGCGAAGGCCGAAUUUUUAUUCAUAAGGGACGAUUGUACGAUUUUGGGGAUGAACACAUUCCGGAGAUUCAUCUUCCUGCAUUUCACAUACUUCACUUUUAUAAAUAAAUAAGUUUGUAUAAUUUAGUAUAAUUUAUAAUUUAAAUUAGUAUAUUUUAAAUUAAUAUAACUCUCAGAAUACGCGCAAAAAUCAACCACAUGAUCAUUAAAUCAAUUAUUAUAAAUUUUAAAAUAAAGAAAAAUUUAUUUUAAAAUAUUGGUUGAGAUAUUGCAUUAGGAUAAACGAAAUUUUCUGUAAGUAUCAAAUGUGGUCAAUAUGAAUAUUGAUAUUUACCGCAUGUGGUGCAGGCGGAGAGGAAUGUACGCUCAGCAGAUAACUGUUCGAGAUGAAAGUUGCAGGCUCUCGAUGUCCCCGGGUUUUAACCGCUCGUUGAUAAAGAAAGGAUCUCUAAAUCUGAAUAUGUAGCGCAAGAUCACAGAAGAGAAAUUAAUAAUGCAGCUGCUGAAUACAGAUAGUCGCCGAUAAAUGAAAUCUCCAAUCAUAAUUUUUAGAUUUGGUUUUAUAAAAAAAUAUGUCUCUUAAAAGAAAACAAGUAAAUUUUGUUAUUUCUACUUUGUACCGAAUUACAAAUAUUUCUAUUGUUUGAUGCUCAAAAUAAUAAAUUGUUUGUUAUAUCAAAAUAUUUCAAACUAUUAAAUAAAUUCUGACAUAGUGUCAUGAUUCUUUACACGACAUUGUAGAAAAGGAAGAAAUGAUAAUAAAAUACGUUAUCUUGAA
Long non-coding RNA from Monomorium pharaonis (pharaoh ant), 2117 nucleotides. RefSeq lists it as uncharacterized. Lineage: Eukaryota; Metazoa; Arthropoda; Insecta; Hymenoptera; Formicidae. The record is from RefSeq and is a predicted model, not a curated record. The transcript is spliced from 2 exons.